GGCUAUAGCUCAGUGGUAGAGUGCUUGCCUCACAAGUGUGAGGCACUGGGUUAAAUUCUCAAUACCA
This 67-nucleotide transfer RNA is filed under the name Marmota monax (woodchuck). Its description in RNAcentral is "tRNA.Val". The record is from RNAcentral. Lineage: Eukaryota; Metazoa; Chordata; Mammalia; Rodentia; Sciuridae.